ACCGGGCCUCGGCCCGUGCGGUUUUUUCGCCUAAUAGUGUUAAAUUUCAGGUUUUCGAGAUUUUUUUUAAAUGUGUAUUGGUUCGGCCCAGGCUGAUUUUAUCUUCUAAAAACAUCGGCCCAUGCCGAGUUUUAGGUCAAGAUCCGCCACUGCUUUGAGGUAUCCGAAAAUUUUGCCUUUGGAAUUAUAAGAACAUUUGGCAUGUAUGGUUAUUCAGCCUAGACCAUUUUUAGAUCACCUUGGUGUUAAAAGAGGUUUAUCUUACAAGAUAGUGGAAAGUUUAUGCAACAAAAAAUACUUGAAGUGAAGAAUUCAAAAGCUACUACGAAGUAAAGGGAUGGUCUCAUAAAUCUUGAAUAUGUGAUUUCAAGUUUUGAUUUUGGUGAAGUGUGUUUUGUAGUUUGCUCAUUUGGGAACCCACAAAUGUUUUCUUGCUGGUUUUUAACUUGUCAUGCAUUGAAUCAGUAAAUCUUGUAUGACACUAAAACUAUUUUGCACAGUUCAUGCCGUGUUUUAUUGUACAAUCUGUUGUUGAUAUUAUACCUUGUGGUGUGCAAAACAUUUUUUGUCUUUCCUCAGUUCAGUUGUUUUUUCCUCUUUACUCGAUAUGCAAAUGAGUCAAGCACAUCUAUCUAUUAUACUAAAGCAAAAUAAUGUUGACUUUUUGACCUUUGAUGUGGCAAUGCUCUUUGGCCAGAGAAUAGUUUUUUUGGGCGGCAUUUUCCUUCUUCUUACCUACGCUCUUCUUCAAUUUGGAAACCUAAUCAAUUCUCUCAAUCAGUUACGCUCUUCUUCAAUUUGAAAAUCAUUCUCCAGGCAAAUUGAUUUCUCUUUAAAUCUCAAAACCUAAUCAAAUUGACAUUGCUGAGAAGCCAGGAAAUUGAGAAUUGAACGGCAAUACUUUUCUCCUCUUUUUCUUUCACGCUAAUCGUGUUCCUUCAUCAUCUACGAUCCUAAUCUCUGUCGUUCUUAUUCAUAAAACAAACAGGGAAUUCAAUCGUUUCAAUCGGUUUAGUUUCAAGCCGGUUGGAAAGAACUGGCGUCCGUUUUCACUUAGAGCAUGCAUGAAAGAAAGUGUGACCGUAACUGUUAAACCUGGAACUUCACUCCAGAUAACAGUCGUUGCUGUGGAGGGACAGCGCACUGGUGUCACUUUGGUGGAUGUGACACCCCAUGGUUUCGGAGUGGAAAAACCUGAUGGAUCUGGGUCUAAUGUAAGCAAGGAAAGCACUGAUCCAAAUAAAGAUCUGGAAGCUGCUAUUCGUUCAAAAAAACCGAAGCUCUACGGAAGCGUUGAUGCUUUCUUUGACCGAGAUUUUCUGAAGAUAUAUUUGAAAAACAGCCUAAAUGAGGACAAGAAGAAGCCAGUAGAUAUAAUUGACAUUGCUUCAAAGAUUCUACCUUUCCCAGCUGAACGCCGCCUCCUUUCUGCUGCUUUCAAAGUUGCGAAACCAUUUGCUGGACACUUUGCUAAACAGGCCUUUCUUUUCAUUCUCGAAAUAAUACCUCCUAACCUCCCAACACUACCUGCUGCGGAAUCUGAGAAUCACCCCGAUGAAUCUGAGAAUCACCCCACACUUUCAGAAGGUAAAGAUCACUCUGAUGAACCCAAAGGUUGACCUGUGGUUAUGAUCGGGCUGUAGGGGCUGCCGGUGUCAGUUGAAAGCGCCGGUGAAUGACGGCUUGGGGGUUUUGGUCGAAACAACCAUGUGGAAAUCUAGCCAAGUGUGUAUACACUUGAGGGAUGAUUGUGAGCUGAGUUGAAAGAGGUCAAAGAUGAUGUGUUUCAAGGUGACGACGGCUACCCACUUAAAGCAUGCUACCCACUGAUGUUACAUGUGUUCUUCAAAUUCUUAGAGACUGUGAUCCCAAAAUAUAACGAUUUCAAGCAGCCCGGAGACAGAUACCGAUCAUGGGAUCCAGCCAGGCAAGAGAGAUUCAUUGUCCGAAUGUGUAAGAUAUUGUCUGACCCACGGGUAACCCAUGAACUCCGCAGUAUUUGGAUCUCCUACUGGACCCAGGCUUACCAGUCUCUGGGGCAGAAGAUAGCAUCACGCCUCAAUGUGCACCCCAAUUAUUGAACACGGUUAUAUUGAGUUUGGGCCCGCUUAAGCUAGAUUGAUGAUCAUGCUAUAGUAGGUCCAUCUCUAAGAUUGUUAUGUUACACAAGCGGGGUUGUAUGUAUCAGUCCUACCUUUCGUCUGUAAUAUUUUAUCAUACUUAAGGAACCUGAAACUUAGAAUAAGUGAACACCUAGAUGUGU
RNAcentral lists this long non-coding RNA (2263 nucleotides) under Helianthus annuus (common sunflower). Lineage: Eukaryota; Viridiplantae; Streptophyta; Magnoliopsida; Asterales; Asteraceae. The record is from RNAcentral.